Molecule: long non-coding RNA, 502 nt
Filed under: Monodelphis domestica (gray short-tailed opossum)
Lineage: Eukaryota; Metazoa; Chordata; Mammalia; Didelphimorphia; Didelphidae
Description: lncRNA (ENSMODG00000049415.1)
Source: RNAcentral
AAGGGCUGUUGCUCUUUUGGUAUUUCUCAUUCCUUCUUUUGUCUGAAUUCAUCUCCUAACAGAAUUAUUAGUAAAUCAUUAUCCUCUUCCUGGAGCUGUUUACAAGGAGACAGAAUUCAAAGCAGAGCUAAGCAUGCGGGAUAGGAAGAAAGAAAAUAUCAUGGAUAUGUUUCCCAAAGAAAGACCUAGAGGUGACUGUGAGGAAAGAAGAAGAAUACCCAUAUAGGAGAAGAGGAAAAGAACAUAGUGGAAUGUAUUACAAGAAGAUGGCUGGGACCAGAGAGUUGGUGGAAAAGAAGAUGGGAGAGGUGAGGAGGGGAGCUUGAAUCUUACUCUCAUGAGAAUUGGCUCCAAGAUGGAAGUUCCCAAGCCUGGUUCCAGAUUAAGCUUACUUUGGGAGUUCAAACAUUGAAUGAUAUAUUGGUCAAGAAAAGAAAGAACAACAAAAAUUAAACAUCAAAAACAAAAGAUAAAAUGUACUAUUAUGAAAUUUGAUGGGGAU